GGUAAGGGUAUGGGGGCAAUAAUUAAAAGAGGGCAGGGAAUAUUGAGUGUAGAGGCAGGGGAAGGAAAUAAGUAUGAGGAAUGCAUUUUUUCAAAACAAUUUUAUUAUCUGAUACCUGACUGUGCAUCGUCGUCCCUCAUGGCAUAUUUUUGGCAAACUUAUUCCACGGCUUUAUUAAGAUACAAAUAACUUAAUAAGGUCAUUGUCAACAAACAUUUAAU
Non-coding RNA from Pelobates cultripes (western spadefoot toad), 221 nucleotides. The record is from the annotation of a GenBank genome assembly. Lineage: Eukaryota; Metazoa; Chordata; Amphibia; Anura; Pelobatidae.